AACGAACGCUGGCGGCAGGCUUAACACAUGCAAGUCGAGCGCCUCGCAAGAGGAGCGGCAGCCGGGUGAGUAACGCGUGGGAACGUACCCUUAUCUUCGGAAUAGCUCUGGGAAACUGGAAGUAAUACCGAAUGUGCCCUUAGGGGGAAAGAUUUAUCGGAUAAGGAUCGGCCCGCGUUGGAUUAGCUAGUUGGUGGGGUAAAGGCCUACCAAGGCGACGAUCCAUAGCUGGUCUGAGAGGAUGAUCAGCCACAUUGGGACUGAGACACGGCCCAAACUCCUACGGGAGGCAGCAGUGGGGAAUAUUGGACAAUGGGCGCAAGCCUGAUCCAGCCAUGCCGCGUGAGUGAUGAAGGCCUUAGGGUUGUAAAGCUCUUUCACCGGAGAAGAUAAUGACGGUAGCCGGAGAAGAAGCCCCGGCUAACUUCGUG
RNAcentral lists this ribosomal RNA (431 nucleotides) under uncultured bacterium. RNAcentral's name for it is "partial 16S ribosomal RNA". It matches the Rfam family "Bacterial small subunit ribosomal RNA", at positions 29 to 507 of the family's 1533-position model. The record is from RNAcentral.